AACGAACGCUGGCGGCUGGCCUAACACAUGCAAGUCGAACGCGACCUUCGGGUCGAGUGGCGCACGGGUGAGUAACGCGUGGGAAUCUGCCCUUGGGUUCGGAAUAACAGUUAGAAAUGACUGCUAAUACCGGAUAAUGUCUUCGGACCAAAGAUUUAUCGCCCAGGGAUGAGCCCCGCGUAGGAUUAGCUAGUUGGUGAGGUAAAGGCUCACCAAGGCGACGAUCCUUAGCUGGUCUGAGAGGAUGAUCAGCCACACUGGGACUGAGACACGGCCCAGACUCCUACGGGAGGCAGCAGUGGGAAUAUUGGACAAUGGGCGAAAGCCUGAUCCAGCAAUGCCGCGUGAGUGAUGAAGGCCUUAGGGUUGUAAAGCUCUUUACCCGGGAUGAUAAUGACAGUACCGGGAGAAUAAGCUCCGGCUAACUCCGUGCC
Molecule: ribosomal RNA, 434 nt
Filed under: uncultured bacterium
Lineage: Bacteria
Description: bacterial SSU rRNA
Rfam family: Bacterial small subunit ribosomal RNA
Source: RNAcentral